Molecule: non-coding RNA, 2213 nt
Organism: Kogia breviceps (pygmy sperm whale)
Lineage: Eukaryota; Metazoa; Chordata; Mammalia; Artiodactyla; Physeteridae
Source: RefSeq, a predicted model, not a curated record
CUAUUAUCUUUAAGCGCUCCAAAUAGAGAAAAACUGAAACUGGGUGUUGGCGGCUCAAGUUGGGUCCUGAUCUGUUCUCUUUUUCCGUGCUUUAAUGGCAAGGAUAAACCUACAGGGUCCAAAUAAUGUUCUAAACACAAAAGGCAUUCCUUCAGUGUUUUUGACUGACUCUUAGACAGAAAAAUGUGAGUUUAAUGCUUGAUGCCUGGUUACUAAAAGAGAAGUGAGAUAAAUGUAGUCACAUUCUCAUCAUUAAUGAUUCAUAUUUGAGAUCUUAUACAAAGCCCUUCAUACAAUGCCUGGCCUUUAAAAGACACUCAAUACAGGGUUGGUUGCUUUUAUCAGCCUUAUUACUCAAUAAGGAAUUUAUUAUUGCAGCCCCACAAGCCCAGAACUUGCAAGAAAUUAGACUGGAACUAGAAGAUUCAGGGUGUGAAUACAUAGAUUUAAUGAAACAGAAAACUCUCUUAAUCCAGUGCUAUGCAGUCAUCAGAUGUCUCAUUGCCAUGACAAGGCAGAAUUAUCAUAGAGGAUGUCUGCAGUCUUGUGACUUGGAGACUAGAAGAAUUUUAGAAGCUCUUUGUACAGCAGUGUAUGAGGUACUCCCCCUGGAGGUUUUCUGCCAUCUGAGGCAUAGAAAAUAUCCUGUGAUGAACAGCCCAAAGGAACCUGGAUGAGGACUGUAAAAUUGUGGAAGCAAAGUUGCUGAGAAUGUUAAAUGAUACUGCAGGGAUCCUUCCUGGCAUUUAGCUGAAGUAUGUAACCCUUGUUUUGUAAUUUGCUGGGUCACUGGCCCUUUAGUUUUAAAUUAACUCAAGUCUCUGAUCCUUUUAGGGUCAUUCAUUUUAUGCACUAGUAUAGUCCUCUAUUUAAUUGAAGAAAUGGAGGGAAGGCAGUUUGUUGGAAGGCACACCGACUUCGUUGAGAAGGUGAGGUGUUUGUGUCUUGGCCUCUUGACACCUAAUUUGGCCAGACUUUCCCCUUCUCUCAGGCCCUACCUUACCUCACAAGGUUAUUGUGAGGAUCUGAUACAUAUACACGCACAUGCACACACAUACAAGCACUUUGUUGUUAAACUAUAAAGUGUAAUACCUGUAAAGUUUAAUGUUACGGUAUUGUUGCCAAUGUCUUUUCUUCUAAGGAGCUGUGGCUAAUGUUUCCGAAGGUGUCCCACUUUCUCUCAUAUUGAGGGACUUCUUUUUUUACCUUUUGAAAACCUAAGGCCUUCAAAUGCUCAACUCAUUAUGUGACUCAUUGCGGGUCACGUGAUGAACUAAUGGAAGAGCCAGGAUGUCUCUGCAGGUCUCCUCUUCAACAACAUGGAACAGACCAGCUCUGGGAUUUGUUAGAGUGUCUCUGAGACACCACAGGCCUGGAGGAUCCAUAUUAUAUCCAUCAAACCACUCUGAAUUUGGAAAUGAUGGAGGGAUGUACCCUAAGUUCCCGAGAGCUUUAUAGAGUCCUGUGCUGGGGUCCUCUAUCCUCAUGGCAGAUGUAUUUCUGUGUAUUUUGGUACGUCUCCUUGCGUACAUGUGUAGGAGUUUCUCUGGGUAUACGUACCUAGAAGUGAAAUUCUGGAGUCACAGGGUUUUCAAGUAUUUCACUUUACUAUUUUGAAGGAAGAAUGGAUAAACUGAAAAUUGCUAGAGCAAACAGCCUGGAGUCAGAUUGUGAAGUGGCUUAUUUGGCAUGGGAAGGAAUUUGGACCAUAUCCUGAAGGAAAUAUUAGGAAAAGACUUUGAAAAGGAAGAACACGACCGUAUUUGCACUUUAGAAAGAACAUGCGGGUGACUGUGGGGAGUCGGUUGGCAGAAGGGAGAACGGAGAUGAUGUAAUCACAGUUGAGACAGACACAAAAGACAGACACUUCAGGAAUAAUACCGAUUACAUGUAGGGCGUGAGGCAAGGAGUCUGGUGUGUCCCGACUGAGAACUGAGCACUAUUCAUAGGAUAAUAACGGGAACAGGGUCAGUGUUCGACACGUUAACUUUAAUGUGUCUGCGGGAUACACAGGUUUAAAAUGUCCAUUACACGGCUGAAAAUAAUGAGUUGGGGCUUCUAGAAAGUCUGGUCUGAGAUACAUAUUUAGGGCUCUUCAGAAGUUUAAGGUGAGCGUGGAUAAAGUUAUGCAGAAAGAGUGGGCAAAGAAAAAACGGAAGACGGCUGAGGAGAGAAUUCCAUUGAGUACCAAUAUUUUAAGGGCAGGCCACAAG